Molecule: long non-coding RNA, 622 nt
Organism: Haliotis rubra (blacklip abalone)
Lineage: Eukaryota; Metazoa; Mollusca; Gastropoda; Lepetellida; Haliotidae
Exons: 2
Source: RefSeq, a predicted model, not a curated record
UGUUAUAACACUGAGCUCUCUUUUAGUAGGUGUGUUAUUACACUGAAUUCCCUUUCAAUGUGUGGUGUGUUAUUGCACUGAGCUCCCUUUUAGUAGGUGUGUUUUUACACUUAGUUCCCUUUUAAUGUGUUGUGUUGUAACACUGAGCUCUCUUUUAGUAUGUGUGUAAUAACACCAAGUUCCCUUUUAGUAGGUGUGUUUUUACACUGAAUUCCCUUUUAAUGUGUUGUGUUGUAACACUGAGCUCCCUUUUAGUAGGUGUGUUUUUACACUUAGUUACCUUUUAAUGUGUUGUGUUGUAACACUGAGCUCUCUUUUAGUAUGUGUGUUAUAACACCAAGUUCCCUUUUAGUAGGUGUGUUUGUAUACUGAGGUCCCUAUUAGUACAUGUGUUAUAUGUGGAGGGGAGGAGAGCAAUGAAUUCAACACUUGUUAAGGCUGACCUGGUCAAGUGCAACUUGCAGGAGAGGACGAUGGGGAAAAUAGUUUCAAUGCAAUUCAAGGAGGCAUCGGACAAAAACAGAACAUUAACGGACACAGAGUCAUGAAGAAAAUGAAACACCAACACACACCAGUUGUCACAGCAGUCCUUGCUUAGUUACCUCCCCUGAUGUGGGAUAAA